UACGAAGGGGGCGAGCGUUGUUCGGAUUUACUGGGCGUAAAGGGCGCGUAGGCGGCGGGUCAAGUCGAGUGUGAAAGCCCCGGGCUCAACCUGGGAGGUGCGCUCGGGACUGGUCUGCUAGAGUUCGGGAGAGGAGCGUGGAAUUCCCAGUGUAGAGGUGAAAUUCGUAGAUAUUGGGAAGAACACCGGUGGCGAAGGCGGCGCUCUGGACCGAGACUGACGCUGAGGCGCGAAAGCGUGGGGAGCAAACAGG
RNAcentral lists this ribosomal RNA (253 nucleotides) under uncultured bacterium. Its description in RNAcentral is "partial 16S ribosomal RNA". It matches the Rfam family "Bacterial small subunit ribosomal RNA", at positions 524 to 776 of the family's 1533-position model. The record is from RNAcentral.